CCCGGCGACCAUAUCGGAAAGGUCACACCUGUUUCCAUCCCGAACACAGUAGUUAAGCUUUUCGAGCCGAUGAUAGUGCCAAAAGCGUGAAAGUAGGUAUCGCCGGGA
Molecule: ribosomal RNA, 108 nt
Filed under: Pirellulaceae bacterium
Lineage: Bacteria; Pseudomonadati; Planctomycetota; Planctomycetia; Pirellulales; Pirellulaceae
Source: RNAcentral